CAACUUGAGAGUUUGAUCCUGGCUCAGAACGAACGCUGGCGGCAGGCUUAACACAUGCAAGUCGAACGCCCUCUUCGGAGGGAGUGGCAGACGGGUGAGUAACACGUGGGAACCUACCUAGGGGUACGGAAUAACUCGGGGAAACUCGUGCUAAUACCGUAUACGACCUUCGGGUGAAAGAUUUAUCGCCCCUAGAUGGGCCCGCGCUGGAUUAGCUAGUUGGUGGGGUAAAAGCCUACCAAGGCGACGAUCCAUAGCUGGUCUGAGAGGAUGAUCAGCCACACUGGGACUGAGACACGGCCCAGACUCCUACGGGAGGCAGCAGUGGGGAAUCUUGGACAAUGGGGGAAACCCUGAUCCAGCCAUGCCGCGUGAGUGAUGAAGGCCUUAGGGUUGUAAAGCUCUUUCGCCAGGGAAGAUAAUG
This 424-nucleotide ribosomal RNA is filed under the name Parvibaculum sp. RNAcentral describes it as "bacterial SSU rRNA". It matches the Rfam family "Bacterial small subunit ribosomal RNA", at positions 1 to 453 of the family's 1533-position model. The record is from RNAcentral. Lineage: Bacteria; Pseudomonadati; Pseudomonadota; Alphaproteobacteria; Hyphomicrobiales; Parvibaculaceae.